This 605-nucleotide ribosomal RNA is filed under the name uncultured archaeon. RNAcentral describes it as "bacterial SSU rRNA". It matches the Rfam family "Archaeal small subunit ribosomal RNA", at positions 54 to 664 of the family's 1478-position model. The record is from RNAcentral.
CGAGUCGCGAGUCUUAGGGACUCGGCGUACCGCUCGGUAACACGUGGGUAACCUGCCUUAUGCUGGGGGAUAACCUCGGGAAACUGAGAAUAAUACCCCAUAGUUCACCACGCCUGGAACGGUGGGUGGAUGAAAGCUCCGGCGGCAUAGGAUGGGCCUGCGGCGUAUCAGGUUGUAGGGGGUGUAAUGUACCCUCUAGCCAUCUACGCGUACGGGUGUUGGGAGACAUCGCCCGGAGAUGGAUUCUGAGACACGAAUCCAGACCCUACGGGGUGCAGCAGGCGCGAAAACUUGGCAAUGCGAGCAAUCGUGACCAGGGAACUCCAAGUGCAUCGGGUAAGACCGAUGCUUUUCUUGACUCUUCAAAGGUCUUGGAAUAAGGGGUGGGUAAGGACGGUGCCAGCCGCCGCGGUAAUACCGGCGCCUCAAGUGGUAGUCGCUUUUAUUGGGCCUAAAACGUCCGUAGCCGGUUUGGUACAUUCGUGGGUAAAUCAAGGCGCUCAACGUCUUGAAUUCUGCGAGCACGGCCAGACUUGGGACCGGGUGAGGUGUGGGGUACUCUCAGGGUAGGGGUAAAAUCCUGUCAUCCUGAGAGGACCACCUGU